RNAcentral lists this ribosomal RNA (561 nucleotides) under Pseudoceratocladium polysetosum. RNAcentral's name for it is "eukaryotic LSU rRNA". It matches the Rfam family "Eukaryotic large subunit ribosomal RNA", at positions 71 to 664 of the family's 3401-position model. Lineage: Eukaryota; Fungi; Ascomycota; Sordariomycetes; Xylariales; Gyrothricaceae. The record is from RNAcentral.
GGGAAUGCCUUUUUAACGGCGACCUGAAGCGGCAACAGCUCAAAUUUGAAAUCUGGCCUUCUGGUCCGAAUUGUAAUUUGUAGAGGAUGCUUUUGGUGCGGUACCUUCCGAGUUCCCUGGAACGGGACGCCUUAGAGGGUGAGAGCCCCGUACGGUUGGAUACCUAGCCUCUGUAUAGCUCCUUCAACGAGUCGAGUAGUUUGGGAAUGCUGCUCUAAAUGGGAGGUAAAUUUCUUCUAAAGCUAAAUACCGGCCAGAGACCGAUAGCGCACAAGUAGAGUGAUCGAAAGAUGAAAAGUACUUUGAAAAGAGGGUUAAAUAGCACGUGAAAUUGUUGAAAGGGAAGCGCUUAUGACCAGACCUUUGCCUGGCGGAUCAUCCGGUGUUCUCACCGGUGCACUUCGCCAGGCUGAGGCCAGCGUCGAUUUCUGGAGGGGGAUAAAGGCUUCGGGAAUGUGACUCCUUCCGGAAGUGUAUAGCCCGUUGCGUACACCUUUCUGGGGAUCGAGGUUCGCGCUCUGCAGGACGCUGCAUAAUGGUAUCAGUGACCGUCUGAAACCG